CCCCUCGGGAUUGGGAGAUAAAGAUAUAUUCUUUUAACUUUACCAAAGAGUUAAAAAAUAUAGGUAUAUUUCUUCAUGCUUGCGAAGACAGGUCUCCUGCCUUUUUCUUAUAUUUACGAUUGGAAUGAUCGGUCUAUAUUUUGUAUGUUUAUGAGUUCAGUCUAUUUUUAUGUUAUUUCGUACUAUCCAAUUCCUUUUUGUGGUAUCUUUUUCUCAUGAGAGGUAAUUAAAAGAAAUUAUAAAAUGGCUUGCUACUUAUUUUUAGAUUUGGAAAUUUUAUUGAUAAGACCUUUUCAAUUGUAGCCAAUAUCUUACUACGAAUAAUCCCCACAACUUCGGGAGAAAAGGAGGCAUUUACCUAUUACAGAGAUGGUGUGAUUUGAUUUUUUUAUUUACCGCCUUCAACUCGAGUCUUAGGAGAAAGGCACCUUAGUCGGGAUAGAAAGGUUUGAAAUAACUCUACGCUUGUUGAAGGUGCAGUUUCAAAAUAAACCAAUUCCUUCUGUCGUGUAUCCUCGAUUAAUGCAGCCUUAAAUGCUCCAACUGUCGAUUCUAGCAUUGAGCGAAAGGUUAUCCCUAUGGCAUGUUUUUUGUAUUGUAGAUUAACCCCAUUUCACUAGUACCAAUAGGUUGGCAUGUAGGAAAAAAUACUGCCCCUAGGAAUCAACAACACGGAACCUUUGUUAAAAAAUCCUGGCUUAGGAUCGAAACUAUGAAGAAUGGUUGGGAUAACAAAUAUCCAUCUUGUUCGGACUUUGGAUACCCAUAUAACCAUCAAAGACUAUUGAAGUGACUAAUUCGCUUAAAUUAGAAGGGCGUUGAGGACAAAGAAAUUAUUGGAGUUAACUUAACAUUUUUAUCUAGUAUCAACAGCUGGGAUGUUAAGAAAAAAAUUUUUGCAGGAAGGUUGGCUAGUGAUUUAGUGUAAAAAUACUAGCCCCGCCCAGUUCAUAAAAACUACUAUUUCACUCCUUUUUUAUUCUCUAUAUUUUUUUCAUUAUACACAUAAAGGAGGAGCCGUAUGAGAUGAAAAUCUCAUGUACGGUUCUGGAACGGAGAUUAUUUAAAUCAAAUACGACCGUAACGGAUGUCUGCUCAAUCCGAAGGGAAUUUUGCGGAAGCUUUACAGAAUUAUUAUGAAGCUAUGCGACUCGAAAUUGAUCCCUAUGAUCGAAGUUAUAUACUCUAUAAUAUAGGUCUUAUUCACACAAGUAAUGGAGAACACACAAAAGCUUUGGAAUAUUAUUUUCGGGCACUAGAACGAAACCCAUUCUUACCACAAGCUUUUAAUAAUAUGGCUGUGAUCUGUCAUUACGUGCGGCUAUCUCCACUAUAGAAAGAAAAAAAGAAAGAGAAAAUUUGACUAGUAAAAAAAAUAGGCUUUCUACAUAUGUAUCGCCCAAAACAACGAUUUUUAUCAGCUGUAGCAAGGAAACUUUAUAGAAAUCAAAAUAUGAAGAAAAAGGAUGCCUAGAUAUUUUAGUCUAUGGAUAAAGGUCUAGUUGAUAAAGGAAGCGCCGUAAAGAUAGUGAGAUUUUUGGUCGAUAUAAUAAGAACUGCUUAAUUAUGUCAUAAUAUGAGACAAAACUUAGGAAUCCACUUAUGUAACAGAGAUGAUCC
RNAcentral lists this long non-coding RNA (1620 nucleotides) under Linum usitatissimum (flax). The record is from RNAcentral. Lineage: Eukaryota; Viridiplantae; Streptophyta; Magnoliopsida; Malpighiales; Linaceae.